RNAcentral lists this transfer RNA (57 nucleotides) under Erinaceus europaeus (western European hedgehog). It matches the Rfam family "tRNA", at positions 8 to 63 of the family's 71-position model. From Rfam's summary of the family: Transfer RNA (tRNA) molecules are approximately 80 nucleotides in length. Their secondary structure includes four short double-helical elements and three loops (D, anti-codon, and T loops). Lineage: Eukaryota; Metazoa; Chordata; Mammalia; Eulipotyphla; Erinaceidae. The record is from Rfam by way of RNAcentral.
UAGCUCAGUUGGUAGAGCACAGGUCUUACAUUCCUAGGAGUCAAGGUUUAAUCCUUG